GGCGCGUUGGCAGAAUGGUUAUGUAGCGGAUUGCAAAUCCGUUGAAUCUGGUUCAAUUCCAGAACGCGCCU
Molecule: transfer RNA, 71 nt
Filed under: Buchnera aphidicola BCc
Lineage: Bacteria; Pseudomonadati; Pseudomonadota; Gammaproteobacteria; Enterobacterales; Erwiniaceae
Description: tRNA-Cys (GCA) (tRNA-Cys-GCA-1-1)
Rfam family: tRNA
About the family: Transfer RNA (tRNA) molecules are approximately 80 nucleotides in length. Their secondary structure includes four short double-helical elements and three loops (D, anti-codon, and T loops). Further hydrogen bonds mediate the characteristic L-shaped molecular structure. tRNAs have two regions of fundamental functional importance: the anti-codon, which is responsible for specific mRNA codon recognition, and the 3' end, to which the tRNAs corresponding amino acid is attached (by aminoacyl-tRNA synthetases). tRNAs cope with the degeneracy of the genetic code in two manners: having more than one tRNA (with a specific anti-codon) for a particular amino acid; and 'wobble' base-pairing, i.e. permitting non-standard base-pairing at the 3rd anti-codon position.
Source: Rfam by way of RNAcentral